UGAGCACCGUAGAGCUUCUUGGAGCGGGGCUUUGCUGAGGUUCAAAUGUUGAGCAGAAUUUGGAGAAGCAAGCGGGAGUACAUUCAUGCAAGGAUGGCUGCAGAUAUUUCCAGCGGAACUGAAAUGGUACUGGAAAGAUAAACUUGGAGAAGAGCAGUGAAGAUGCUACCUCACCGUGGCGCAAGUUACUGAGCGUCAGGGGAGCAGAGCACUGCUGGGGAGACCGUGGUGCACGGCCGGACUGACUUUGCCGUCUCUGGGACCGCGGCUGCGUGGAUGCGCAGGAUCUGGCUCCUGUCACUUGGCAUGCCUAGCGGUGGCACCAGUCUGUAACACUGGGUACAAGGUGAGCACCUGAAAUUAAAGCUUGAUGAAGAUGACUGGGCGUUCUUAGGAUGAUAUAGGAGGAGGAACGUAAGAUUCCUGGAGCCGGCAGGCAGUCUCCGUACCACCUUUGUGGUGGCAUAGGUAGGAUUUCAGUGAUAU
Molecule: long non-coding RNA, 486 nt
Filed under: Chinchilla lanigera (long-tailed chinchilla)
Lineage: Eukaryota; Metazoa; Chordata; Mammalia; Rodentia; Chinchillidae
Description: lncRNA (ENSCLAG00000025267.1)
Source: RNAcentral